CCCUCAUCCUCAAAAACUUCAGACAACCACACAAGACAGAGUGUGGAGUCUCACUGUUCUGGUGUAAAGGAGAGCCAAAUAUAUUUUUACAUUUUCUUUGUCGACCUCCGUGCAGGUGUUUCGUGACACCAGCAGCUGUGCCAGCUGUUUCUUUGAUUUUUGAAACCAAUCAGGAAAAGGGAAUUUUAAAAAAGCAACGUAGAACUAGUAUCACAUGUUCUGGUUUAUCAGCUAAGAUUUACACUUUCUCUAUUGACUUUAUCGCUCGUGUCCCAACAGUAUGCACUAUGCUGUAGCAUUCCUGAAAAUCUGCAAUCAUCUUUAUCCAGCUGCAUAACUUUUAAUAAAGUUAAUCCCACGAGGCUAGAAUUUAUUGUUAGGGCACAUUGUCGAGAGGGUGUUGUCAUUGCAUGCCCUCAGAUUACAGCACAGUGAAUUCUGUACAGCUGUAUUUCUGAAUACAGCUCCUAGAAUCUAGCAGCCCGGGACUAGCUGCAGUUCCCAGUUCGGCUCACCUGCCCCAGGUCUGGCUGUAGCGCCCAGGUCACGUAAACUAAUUGAAAAAAAACAAAAACGUCUGCGGGGCGGAUGAUUUUGGGUUAUGGACCGGAUCCGGCCCGUAGGCCGUAGGUUGCCGACCCCUGUAUUAGAUGUCAGGCCUCAUUGUGUACCCCCCCCCAUGUUUUAAAAGCGAUUCCUGCCCAUGAUUCAGUGCACUACAGCACAGCACUAAUAGGCACCUAGCACAGCAAAGCACAAUGCAAUAAGUACACAAAGGUGAAUGGGUUUCGUAUUCCUCAUCAACACUGUGCCUUCAGAAGGAUUGCCUUGGAAUAGCAACACCUCUUUGCUUGCCAAUCUCCCCACUCAUUCACACCUUCCAGAAACGAAGGUGAAACUACUAUCUCAGAAUCUGGAGCCACUCCAAUCUCCAGCAAGCAGGCCAAGAACUUGGUACAAACAUUUAUCUUUGUAAGAGAAAACAAAACUUGCUGAAUAUGACAGGGGCAGCAAGCUGGCACAGCUGAGAGAGCUGAUGUCCCUCAGCGCCAGUGACCCGAUUCAAUCCUGACCUCCUGUGUGAAGUUUGCAUGUUCUCCCUGUGGUUGUACGAGUUUCCUCCAGGUGCUCCGGUUUCCUCCCACAUUCUAAAGACGUUCGGGUUCAUAAGCUAAUUGGCCUCUAUAGGUAGAGAGUGGAUGCGAAAGUGGGAAAACAGAGCUAGUGUGAACGAGUGAUCAAUGGUCAGCACGGACUUGGUGGGCUGAAGGGCCUGAUCCCAUGCUGCAUCAUUCAAUUAAUAAAAACCAUAUCAUCAAAAAGAUGAAUAGAAGUCUGAGCUCCUUUAGAGACCACAUUCUCACCCAUCAGUGUUCAAUGUUCCUCCUGAACAGUUAAAGAUUUCUAACAUUCUAGUAAGAGAUUGCUAGUAUUUCACAGCAGAGAAGGAAACUGUGAGUGAACUACCCCACUUAGCCUUAUAUCCCAAAUCACUCCAUUUUUUCUUCAAAUAUUUAUCCUUUUCCACUCCAAAAGCUAUUUUGAACCCUGCUUCCACCGUCAUUUCAGAAGAAGAAUUCUAAGCAUGUCCUGUCUGACUAAUACUACAGCAAACAAAAAUCCAAAAGACGCUCUUGGGAAUUAUCAAAUCUAUAUUCUCUACUUCAGAUUUUCCACAGCAGCCUCAUACUGGAGUAGGUUUCUAGUAUGUACUAGAAUAAUGUAACCAGAGCAGACUGGACAUUCAAAAUGAAUAGGAUGUGAAUUUUAGGAUACAUUAAAUGAUAGGGUGAAGUUAUACAGGUCUUAACAGACCAUUAGCACAGGUGCACACUGCAGAAUCCAUAGUGUCCUUAUUUUUCCAAUAAAAUGUUUUGCGUAACAGGAUUUUAAGAAGUUUUUUUUUUUGCGACUGGUAUCAAUGGAAGUAGUUUGAAUAUUAAUUGCUGCACAAUUUCACUCUGAAAUCUCAGCUAUUGUACAAUAUAAAGGUCUGCCAUAACACAAAGUGCUGGAGGAACUCAGCGGGUCAGGCAGCAUCUGUGGAGGGAAUAAGAUAGGUGACAAUUCUGGUCAGACCCUUCUUCAGAAUGGUAGAACUCGGGGAUGUGAAAAGCUGGAACAGAGAGACGGGGGCAGUUCAAAGCCUGGUAAGUGAUAUGUAGAAAAAAAAAGACAAAGUGCUGGAGUAACUCAGCAUGAUGGAGAUGUAUUUGACCUACUGAGCUACUCCAGCAUUUUUUCUUUUUCUGUCUAAGUGAAAGGUGGAUACAGGUGAGUGGGGUGCAAACGCUUGCUGUACUUGAGAGUUGGGUCUCAAACGGUUUUCUGGAAGUCUCAGGAAGCUAAAGCAAUUGCAAGUAACAGUAAUUCAUGGCAAUCUCCAGUAUUUUAUCAAUCGAGACAGGGUACCCGGCCACUCUUUCAGCUGGGAAAUGAUGCAUGACAGGAGUGAAUAAAAACAUACAAUGCACCACCUGUUUCUUUUGUAAUAUACUGCUGUAUAAAUAUGCAUACCUCUCAGUGGCAAGUCAAGCCUGAGCCAGUCAUAAAUAAAUCAAGGGAUGAACAGACAUACCGAGAGUGCAAGCUACAUCCUGCAAAGAAAUAUCAUCCACCACACAGCAACCAGGUAGAAAGUAACAAAGGGAUUCAUCUCAAUCACACACUUCUGCUUUCGAGAAAACAAAAUUCCAAAAGCCGUAACUCUACAGUACUUUGAAAUGAUGGCUUUUGUACGGCUGCCAGCUCACAUCAAAGAGCCAUUUACAGGAGUUCUGUUUGUGCUUUCACAGGGCAAAAUAGUGAAUGAACUUCAUUAUUUAAAUGCAGUUAAAUAGUAAUGUAGUUUAGUGCAAGAUUUUACUGUUAACAAGCUCUUAACUACACAUUAUCCUGUCUGAAGUGCUGAUUCCACAGCAAAAAAUUGGCAAACACAAGAAUUAUUCUGGAAGGAAGUUACUAGGAGAUUAUCGUCCUUAACCCAAAAUCAGAAAUAUUCUCAAUAAUGGCUUCAUUUGUAGCAAGACAAAAACUAAUGAUUUUGUAGCUAUGCCGAAGUUUGGUCAAAUAAUUAAUAGCUGCUUGAUUCUAUGGAAUUUAUUCAAAAAGGUAUAACUAAACCUCAGCAUAAAUUAACACGGGACCCUUAGAAACAUCCAGCGAGACAUCCAGCCUCCCAGUCCCUAGCCAAUGACACACCUGGACAAGAUCCAGCGGGGGG
This is a long non-coding RNA of Leucoraja erinaceus (little skate), 3223 nucleotides long. RefSeq lists it as uncharacterized. The transcript has 2 exons. The record is from RefSeq and is a predicted model, not a curated record. NCBI's taxonomy places the organism in Eukaryota, Metazoa, Chordata, Chondrichthyes, Rajiformes, Rajidae.